UGAAAGAAAAUGGCUAUAGCUCACUGUUGUUUACUGGAAAUAGUAGGGGGAAGGAAAGAUGGAAGUCCAGGUCCAGUGUCAUAUACUGCCCUGCACCUUACUCACUUCUCUGCCUUUAGGGUGAUGCCACACUCAAUCAGAAACUAUGCUACUGCUGAAGAGGUAUAUUGAGCCCUGCCUGGUUAACCUCCAGUGAGGUUAUUAGAGAAUUGGGAGAGGCUCAAAUCAGCAUCCUGCACCUAGUUAUCAAACCAUUGUGAAGUC
RNAcentral lists this long non-coding RNA (264 nucleotides) under Homo sapiens (human). Its description in RNAcentral is "non-protein coding FTX:15". Lineage: Eukaryota; Metazoa; Chordata; Mammalia; Primates; Hominidae. The record is from RNAcentral.